This 203-nucleotide long non-coding RNA is filed under the name Elaeis guineensis (African oil palm). RNAcentral describes it as "long non-coding RNA (EGUI_LNC022250)". The record is from RNAcentral. Lineage: Eukaryota; Viridiplantae; Streptophyta; Magnoliopsida; Arecales; Arecaceae.
GUGCUGUAGUUUGGUGUCAUUUUGAAGGUUCGAAUGAUGCUCUGGUUAAGUAUUGAAUAAAAUUUGAAGUAUAUAUAACUGAAUUUACAAAGGCAUAAAGAAGAUAUAUGCAUAAUAUUUGUUAGAGUAUGCUGCAAAUGUCACUCAGGUUUGGUUCCACAUAAAUUGUAGUUAUCCCAACUGUUGUGUAGAGAUGAGAACCC